RNAcentral lists this ribosomal RNA (253 nucleotides) under uncultured bacterium. RNAcentral describes it as "partial 16S ribosomal RNA". It matches the Rfam family "Bacterial small subunit ribosomal RNA", at positions 524 to 776 of the family's 1533-position model. The record is from RNAcentral.
UACAGAGGGUGCAAGCGUUAAUCGGAAUUACUGGGCGUAAAGCGUGCGUAGACGGUUAUUUAAGUCAGGUGUGAAAGCCCCGGGCUCAACCUGGGAAUUGCAUUUGAGACUGAAUAGCUAGGGUGCGGAAGAGGGAAGCGGAAUUUCCGGUGUAGCGGUGAAAUGCGUAGAUAUCGGAAGGAACACCAGUGGCGAAAGCGGCUGCCUGGGACAGAACCGACGUUCAGGCACGAAAGCGUGGGGAGCAAACAGG